This 248-nucleotide long non-coding RNA is filed under the name Triticum aestivum (bread wheat). Its description in RNAcentral is "long non-coding RNA (TAES_LNC021269)". Lineage: Eukaryota; Viridiplantae; Streptophyta; Magnoliopsida; Poales; Poaceae. The record is from RNAcentral.
CCCCAUUUGUAUGUGUUUACUACGCUGUUGUUGACUCCUUGGUCGGUCGUUUUUUUUAUUCGUGUCAGUUGUGUAUUACCUUCUCAUGGCAGCUUGAAGAACAGGAGCAAAUAGGAACUAAGACCUUUUCUAAAAAAAAAAUAGGAACUAAGAAGGCAUGUUCUUAGGUGUAUGUACACAGGAUGAUAGGCUUUUAGACUUUAGCAGAAUAUCAGAUUGUGCAAAUUGCAGAGAGAAACUGGAGAGUG